AGCGAACGUUAGCGGCGGGCCUAACACAUGCAAGUCGAACGCGAAAGGUCUUCGGACUGAGUAGAGUGGCGCACGGGUGAGUAACACGUAGGUAAUCUACCCUUUGGCGGGGGAUAACGUUCCGAAAGGAGCGCUAAUACCGCAUAACACCACGGAGUCUCCGGACGCUGUGGGAAAAGGUGGCCUCUUCUUGAAAGCUACCACCGAAGGAUGAGCCUGCGUCCCAUCAGCUAGUUGGUAAGGUAAUGGCUUACCAAGGCGAAGACGGGUAGCUGGUUUGAGAGAAUGAUCAGCCACACUGGCACUGGAACACGGGCCAGACUCCUACGGGAGGCAGCAGUGAGGAAUAUUGGGCAAUGGGCGAAAGCCUGACCCAGCCACGCCGCGUGAGUGAUGAAGGCCCUCGGGUCGUAAAGCUCUGUGGAGAGGGACGAAAACCCUGGUUUCAAAUAGGCUCCAGGCUUGACGGUACCUCUUUAGCAAGCACCGGCUAACUCUGUGCCAG
This 505-nucleotide ribosomal RNA is filed under the name uncultured bacterium. RNAcentral's name for it is "bacterial SSU rRNA". It matches the Rfam family "Bacterial small subunit ribosomal RNA", at positions 29 to 511 of the family's 1533-position model. The record is from RNAcentral.